GAUGAACGCUGGCGGCGUGCCUAAUACAUGCAAGUCGAGCGAACAGACGAGGAGCUUGCUCCUCUGACGUUAGCGGCGGACGGGUGAGUAACACGUGGAUAACCUACCUAUAAGACUGGGAUCACUUCGGGAAACCGGAGCUAAUACCGGAUAAUAUAUUGAACCGCAUGGUUCAAUAGUGAAAGACGGUUUUGCUGUCACUUAUAGAUGGAUCCGCGCCGCAUUAGCUAGUUGGUAAGGUAACGGCUUACCAAGGCAACGAUGCGUAGCCGACCUGAGAGGAUGAUCGGACACACUAGGACUGAGACACGGUCCAAGCUCCUAGGAGAGGCAGCGGUAAGGAAUCUUGCGCAAUGGGCGAAAGCCUGACGGAACAACGCAGCAUGAGUGAUGAAGGUCUUCGGAUCGUAGAACUCUGUUAUUAGGGAAGAACAAGUGUGUAAGUAACUAUGCACGUCUUGACGGUACCUAAUCAGAAAGCCACGGCUAACUACGUG
Molecule: ribosomal RNA, 497 nt
Filed under: uncultured bacterium
Lineage: Bacteria
Description: partial 16S ribosomal RNA
Rfam family: Bacterial small subunit ribosomal RNA
Source: RNAcentral